CUGGGGUCCGGAGGCUGCCUGGGCUCAGACCCGGGAGCCAGCUCUGGGCUUCGACCAGCAGGGCCCAGGGAGGAGCCACGCGGGCGGCGGCGGAGGCCAGCCUGGGCCGAGUUGGCAGGAUGCUUUUCGAAAGAAAGGCUGUACCGUUGUCCCGGUUGUCGGUUGUCUGUAAGGUUGUGGAAUGGUUACAUGCUUACGUAACAGAGACCUUAACUUUUCCAAAAAAGGCAAUUCACUGGAAAGAGGACAAGGGAGCAGAGAGAGCCCAAAGGUGGAGCUGCAGCAUGGUGUCUGGGCACGGGGACGCCAGCAAGAAUCUGCAGGAGCCCCCUUUGCUGGUCUCUGCUUCAUCACCCCCAGGCGUGGGCAUAAUCAGAGCUGACCCCUGCUGAGCCAGGCCCAGAACUGAGAACUUUACAUGCGUGGUUUAAUCCUCGUGACAACCCCAUGAGAUAGGUGUUACUACUAUUCCUCCCAUUUUGCAGAUGUGGGAUGAGGCACAGAGAGGUUGAGUAACCACUGAAGGCCACACAGCCAGUACAUGGCGAGCCAGGAUUCUCUCCACGGCUCUACUGUGCUGCCUCCAGAGAACCAGGGGCCAUCACAAACUGGAUGGACAUCCCAGUGUGUCUUCUACUCUUGACAAGUCCCCUCCCGGUAACUUGACAAGGACAGGCAGGGAGAAGACGGGGGGUAAGACCUGUGUGUGUUACAGUUUACACGACAACUUCACACACGUUUCCUCAUCUCAAGCUCACCACAGCCCCCGGGGGAAACGGAGGCCCGGCGAGCAUGUGACGGGCCUGGGGCGCCCCCAGGGUCUCGGGGAUGUUGCUUGCUCCCCUCGGCCUUGGCAGGUGCACCGGGGCUGGGCCGCUGGUGCGGCGAAGACGGGCCGGCGGCGCCCGGACACCAGACGAGCACCAUCUAUGUGCAAGGCCCUCUCUGAUCCAGGGCUGCGUUGCGGUUCUCCAAGUCCUGACGCCGUGGAAGCCACUAGGAGAGGCUGGAGCCAGGCGCGAGGCCUCCCCGCCCGGGCGCGUAGCUGCGGCUGCUCCCUGCCCGGUCCUCUGCGCGGAGCCAGCAAGGCGCUCAAAUUAGACCCGUGAGCACCUCCCCGAGGUUAAGGGCGCCUCGUGGGCCCCCGGCCAGGACUCGGCCGAGCCGGAAGUCCGGGGGAGGGGCCCCUAACUGCAGAGCGACAGUCACCCAGGAGCAGGUGGGGCUCCCCCAAAACCACGCACCUGCUCCUCGGGCUCCUUCUAGAAACCUGCGGGAGCUGAAGACCAGGCGCGGCGCCAGCUUCUCUUCACCCCUGUCCGCGAGGUCCCUAGAGACCCUGGAGCUGUCGGUAGCAGGAGGGGUUUACACCAGGUGACCCGUGAGCAGCUUCCCAGCUCUGACCCCAAGACAGUGAGUCAACCCCCUGGGCUGUGCAUGGAAAAUGCAGGAAGGAGGAGGGAGUAAGACAGACUCUAAGGGGGCUUCUUUAAGACGGUGAGUCCUGUGCCUGCCCUACACCUACUAAAUUAGAGGCAGGACCCAGGAUCUCCUUUUUUUUUUGUUUCCUGAGGAAGAUUUGCCCUGAGCUGCCAUCCAAUGCCAGUUUUCCUCUUUUUGUGUGUGUGUGAGUUAGCAUGGCUGCUAACAGAUGAGUGGCUUAAGUCCGUGCCCAGGAUCUGAACCCAGGCCGCAGACGCGGAGCAUGCUGAACUUAACCACUAGGCCCCCGGGGCUGGCCCCAGGAUCUAGGUUUUAACCAGCUCGAACUAAAAUCUGAGACCACCCCACACUGGCCCUUGUGGGAUUCCUCCCACCGUCCCCUGCCCCCACCGUUUUCCCAGAUCAGCUCUGCUGUCCCUUGAUUUCAUUGAGGUCUGGCCCGAUGUCCCUCAGAGGGGUCCUUGCUGAGCCCCUGGUCGAACAGGUCCACUACAGGUCGUUUUGUAGUCCAGGUGUGUCCCUGCAAUGUUCGGGAAAUACACUCAUAAGUGUUUAUUGUCAACCUGAAACUGAAAUGUAACUGGGAGUCCUGUGUUUGUAUUUGCUAAGCCUGGCAACCCUAAGGGAGGGGACGCAGCGCCCCUGACAGUAGGGCCAUUUGCCAGUCUGAGUUUCCAUGGGCAGCAGAUGGCUGCAGCCGCCACCCUGGCACAGCCCUGCCCCUCCGCACCCACCCAACCACCAGCAAGAAGGAAAACCGUCCCGUGGGGCAGGCCUGCGUCCCUGCAGAGGGGUUUCUGGGCCGGGAACAAGCCCUGGGAUCUUUCUUCUCCAUCUUCCGCUCCCGUGCACAGCUUCCUGCUGCAGGUGCUCAGGGAUUCUGCCCGAGGCCCCAGGAGGGAUGGGUGUAGGUGCCCCACUCAGAGGACGGCUCCCUACAGGACACGCCCAGAGCCCCGGCCGUGGGAGACAGACACCACGCGGCCGACUCCGAAAUAGACAGUGAGCCCCUGCCCCGGACACGGGUGAUCGUGGCGACUCAGAGUUAGGGGUGGAAUUGUGUCCCCCCAGGUUCCUUUGCUGUUGUCCUAACCCCCAGUGCGCCAGAAUGUGCCCUUGUUUGGAGACAGGGUCUUUGCAGAGGUAAUCAAGAGGUAAUGAGGUCAUGACGGAGUCCUCAGGAGAAGGGAAGUUUGGGCACAGACGAGAGCACGUGAAGACACAGGGAGGAGGCGGCCAUCUGCCAGCCAAGGAGCGGGGCUGGAGCAGGUCCUCCCUGGCAGCCUCAGAAGGAGCCAGCCUGCCCGCUCCUUGAGCUCGGACUUCCCGCCUCCAGACUGUAGGUGACACGUUUCUGCUGGGCAGCCACCCAGGCUGUGGCCCUGAGCUAUGGCGGCCCUGGCUACCUCGGGCAGGGCAGCGGGUCUCAGCGCCCUCUGUCCUGGCACCUUCCAUCCCUCCAUUCACCCCGGUGGGGUCUCUACCAGGACGGGUGUGUGAUGAAGCCUCAGGCCUCCCUGAGCGUCUCAGAUCCCUUAACUCUGGGCUGAGCGACAGGCUUGGCUCAGGACAGGCGCUUGGUGCCACCCAGGCUGGGGACCUAGCUCCAGGGACUGGCCUCCACGUGGGGAGCACGCUUGCUUUAUAGCAGCCUUGCUGGGGAAAUUUGGGCCCCGGCCACAAAAAACUCACUGGGAGCCAAGAAUAAGAUUGUCAGGUCCUGUGGCUGAAGGAAAGAAAUUCAGACCAGGCAGAGUAAGAGGAGGGCCCUGGGCGCCUGAAUAAAGCAACGUGGAGACCGACCUUCCGGUUUGCAGAGUUCUCUGUGACCUCAGGACGACCCGCAGUGAGGGAGCAUGCUCGCCAGUCACAAAGACCGUUUUAUCUCUUCGUGUUCCCAGCACAGCGCCCAGCACACAGCAGGUGCUCAAUACGUGCUAAGUACUUCCUAAAAUAAAGCAUAAACAUCCUGCUCCUAGCAGCAGAGAAAGGAGACAAUCACCGUCUGCUGGGGGUGGGCAAUGUGAUCUGGUGCUUUAAAUGCCCAGACGGGGUGUGAGGACUCCCGAUUCCGGAGCGGACAUCCACUGCUGGGCGACCUCAGGCGGCUCUCCCCGCGCGCUCUGGCUUUCCGGGUCUGUGAAGUGGGACAGCCUGGUCCCCGCUGGGGCAGCCUCCAGCCCCAAGCAUCCCUCCUGGUUCCGGGCUAGGUGCACGGUGCCUGGUCCUGAGAGGCCUCGCUGGAGCUGGAGACGGAGCUGGCCGGCGGCAGGCAGCCGAGGGCAGGAAGCUGGCAGGUGGCCCUCACCCGCCAGCCGCUCAGGGCCCCCAGGCACCGCACCCCCAGCCCGACACCACUUUCUAGCCAUCUGGGUUGUUCCAGAGUCCUGCCCUGUGAGGUCAAAGCCUUCGGAGCUGGAGGGAAGGACCAGAGAAGACGGCCCACCACCAGCAGCCGCGUCAGGGUUUGCACGGUGAGGAAUUCCACGGAGCCGCUCAGUGCUGAAUGUGUGCCCAAAGUCAUAGGCUGAGACCUAAGCCCCAAGGUGAUGGUGUUAGGAGGUGGGGCCUCCGGGGGUGAUUAGGGCAUGAGGGCGGGGCCCUCAGGAAUGGGAUUAGCAUCAUUAUGAAGGAGACUGAGAAGAGCUCUCUGCCCCUUCGGUCACGUGAGGACGCAGUGAGAAGCCAUCCGUCUGUGCGCCAGGGAGCCGGCUCACUCCAGACCCCGCGUCUGCCCAGCCCUUGAGAUUGGACUCUGAGCAUCGGGAAGUGUGAGAAAUAAGUGUCUGUGGUUUAAGGGCCAGGCUGCAGUAUUUUCCUAUAUGGUCUAAGACAGGGGCAGACUUGGCUUGUUUUUAGCGUUUUAGGGAAAUGAAUGCCAGUUUUGAGUGACUGUCACCUUGCACCUGCCCCUGGACAAGGAGCAGCAGGGCGUGGGAGAGAGGCAUGGGGGGAGGGGCUCCAGAGGGCCACAUCGUCACCCACUGCAUCUGGCAACACCAGUAAGUGGGCUGGGCCCCUCCCUGGGUGGCCUGGGGACCCCUGGGCCGGAGGAAAGGGGAUGAGAGCAGAGGGGUGGGAGGUCCAGAGCUCUGCUCCUGGUGGGGGGCUGGGUGUCCUGAGGGGAGGCCCCAGCACCCCUGGCCUGUGACCUGCCAUCACUGCUGGCCCAGGAGGAAGAGUGGACAGACACCCACAGGGGCAGAGAGACCCCGAGGCCAGCAGGCGACCUGCACACUGGGUCCAGGCAGGGGUCAAGGACAGGGCUGGAGUGAGCGAGAUGCUCAGGUCCGACACUGUCGCCCUGAAGAAGGCAGGUGGCCUUCCUGUUGGGCCACUGCCACUCUGAGCUGUGCCUGCAGGCCACACGCACUCUGUGCUCAGGCCCCUGGUGAAGCCACAUCUGCCAGACGUGAGCCACCAGGGACAGGACGACCCUAAGAAGUCAACCCCGGCCUCACUGGGGGUCCAGGGCCCAGCAGUUGGGAGACCACCCCUCCUCCCUGGGCAAUGGGGAGGAGCUUGACGACCCCAUCGGGGUGGCCUCUAGGGGAGCCCUGGGCCCUGAGGCACGAGGUCCACCCCGCGCUAGGGCAGACUCAGAGCUGAGCUCCUCAGGAGCAAGAGGCUACCCAGCUGCAGGGAGGGGGGGGUCAGCGGAUGGCUAACCCGAGGACGGGGUCUGCCUCGGCUGCCAAGGUCAAGGUCAUCUUCUCGGGCCCUGCAGCCAGAGUGAGGGAGGGUGCGAGGGCCCAGCCCCUUCCGCCCCACGCGGGCUCCUCCGACGGGCAGCGAUGGCUCGGAGCUCCACCGGGCUGUCGGAGGCGCGCGCAGCAGAUCCGAACAUCAGUUUACCAACCCCUCCUACCCACCCCUGCUCGUCCCUUCUCUCCACCGGUGCUGCUCCCCAAUAAAUCUUUUGCUCCCCUGACUCUGGCUCAGGGUUGGCCUCCUGGAGAACCUAACCUGCAGCACCCUCUUCCGCGCCCUUGUGCCUCAGUUUCCCCUCGUGGGGUGGUACCUGUGCUUCGGGUUCAACACUGCACGAACAGGAGGAUGACCUGUUUCCUCAGUACCCGAAACACCCCCCCGCACCCAGCCGGCAGGGCACGCGCAGUGGAGAAGGGGGCGCCCGCCUCUGGUGGCCUCAGCGCCCACCCCACCAAGGGGCUGCCACUAAAAACAAAACACGACAUCACAAGACCCAGAGAAAGCGGGGGAACCGAAGGCUGGCUGUUCUCCGGGGCGCCCCCUCCCCGCUCCCCUGCGGGCUGGCAGAAGGGGCCCCCUCGGACUUUAGGACGCUCCCCAGUCACCGCCUGCGGCUGGGACCACGCUCUGCUCCCCAUCCCUGCUUGCCCCAGGUCUGCAGCUCCCCUCGUGAUGCCGAGGUGACACGUUCCCCCGCCGAGCCGGCCCCGUGCACGCCCACCCCCGGAGCGCUCCGACCCCGUGGGCCCCCCCCCCACCCCCGCCCCCCCAGGAGGAGAGAGCAGCCGGCCUGUGCCGGCCCUGCUCCCAAUCCCAGCGCCCGCAUACCCUGCACAAGCGGUCAGCGCCGCCGAGGGUCUCCCCGCAUCCAUCCCACCCCACGCCUGCCAGCACGCGGCCUGGGGGCCUACCCUGGGCCCGCAGGGAGAGCACAGCCCUGGCCCAUGGAAGGUUCUGGACUGCAGAGAUCUCCUGCCUACAGCCUCCACCACGGAAUCCAAGGCGCUCCGGACCCUCUUCCCCACGCAGCCCUUCAGGUGCGGGAGUCCCCGAGGCCCCUUCUCUGAGCUAAAACACGCCACUCUUCCCAUUCCUCCUCAUGUGACUGGAUUUUGAGCCCUCCCACCAUCCUGGCCACACAGUCUGGAAUGUGGUUUGCUGAUGACUUUCCGAAAGUGGGGUUCCCAGGGCUCAAUACGCUCCCGGGAGCGGUCAGGUCAGCCGGCCCGGGGAAGGCUCUGCGGACACGUUUUGUUGACCCAACUUGAGGUCCUAUCAGCUGUCGCGGACCCCACGCAGACUCUGCAGUCACAAUGCCCCGAUUCAUGUCCCUUCUCAGCCAGUUCCACCUUGGGUAAAUUAUUUAGCUUCUCUGUACCUCAGUUUACUUAACUGUAAAAUAGGGUCAUAACGGCACCCCCUCUCCCCCACCCCAAGCCAAGACGCGGGAAAAGAGCCGGGCGGCCGUCGGCCGGCAGAGGGCGCUGCACGCCCGCCUUGGACGGGAUGCGCUGCCGGACGCGGCCGCCAGGGGUCGCCCGAGCGCCGCGGCGGACCGAGGAGACCCCUGGCCGGGCCGCGCCUGCACCACCCGACUGGUACCCACGAGGGGGGAGGGGGGAGGCUGCGCCGACCCUGGACUGGCCGCCCCUUGCCUGCGCCUCACCCCGCCCUUCUGGAAGACUCGGAGCAGUUUACUGCAACCUCCGCACACCUGAUGCGGAGCCAAAUCGCAGGCGCUGUGGCCGCCAAGCAGGUGCAAAGGGGAGCGAGGCUCGGGGGGAAUCGGGGGGAUGUGUGACCCCAGUGACGCAAAGCCUUUGAAAGAGCGGCAGUGACACCGCCCAGAGGCGCAGGACACACCCCCGGGACCCGGCCACAUCCGAGAACAGGAUAGGGCUGCUCACCCGCUCCUGAGACCCGCGCUGCCUCGGGUCAUCACAUCCUCCCCCUGGCCCCCACCCUGGACCUCUCCACCCUGCAUGGGGUGCGCUUGCUGUGUCCAGGUGUCCAGACAGGUGAAUUAGAAGGAUCUGGGGAGUCACGGAUGGGAUACGGAACUGAAAUCUACUUCCUCCCCUUGGCCAUGAAAUGGGAGAAAACCUCCUCUGUUCAGGGUGGGGAAGGGCAUACAUGGUUCCUGGAGGAGGAAGCCAAGGGCAGCAUUUUGAUCUGGCCCACAGUAGAGAAAAAGUCCUGUCUCCAAGGUCUGCCAAGGGUUUGGCAUCCAAGGUAAGAUCAGGACAACAUAUCUAGGAUGGUUAAUUUUAUGUGUCAAGUUGACUGGGCCCAGAAAUUUGGUCAAAUAUUAUUCUGGAUGUGUCUGUGAGGGAGUUUUUGAAAGAGAUUGACAUUUAAAUCAAGAGACUGAGUAAAGCAGAUUGCCCUCCCUGGUGUAGGUGGGCCUCACCCAAUCAGUUGAAGGCCUGAAGAGAACAAAAAGGCCGAGGCUCCCACGAGUAAGAGGGAACUCCUCCUGCCUGACUGAUUUCCAGCUGGGACAUCAGCUUUUUCCUGUCUUCAGACUUGAGCUGAAACAUCGGUUUCUCUUGGGUCUUGAGCCUGCCUGCCUUCAGACUGGAACAUCAUCAGCCCUCCUGGGUCUCCCGCUUGCUGACUGCAGAUCUUGGGGCUUGUCAGCCUCUGUAGUUACCUGAGCAAUUCCAUACCCUCUUGGUUCUACCCCUCUGGAGAACCCUGGCCAUUCACUGGCCUAAUCGACAGAGCAACAUGGUAUCAUUCUCCUCUCCUCUCACAUCAGCAAAGACAAGUCCUUCAGGUGUAUGGAGGAAAUCGAACGUGUGCAAGUCUGUCGAGUCAACAUGCUGUCUUUGGAGUCCGUCCUUGGGAACCAACUGCACGUGGUGGGGUGUCUUGUGCACAUAAGGAUGUUGGGAAGGACGCUCCCCCACCCAGCGCCCACUGCCCUCCUGGUAAAGGGGCUUCAAUGCCUGGUCAGUCAGAGCAGUCUCCUGGCCAGGGGAUUGGCUCAGGUUGGGCCAAGCCAGGUCAAUUAGGGUAAAUGAGAUUUUAUUCUGGCAAUUUGUAGGAACUGACUUUAAAAAAAAAAAGUGUUUGCUUUUUCUUCUGAGAAGAUAGUUAUCCACUGAGGCUUCUGGCAGCCAUCUUGUCACCAUGAGGGGAAUAGCCGGCCUGAGAAUUUCCAAAGCACACAGGAAAGUCUGAGAGCCACUCAUGCCCCAAGCCGGAGACUUCCCCUGGGUGUUUCAUUUCCAUAAGCAGUAAUUUCUCUUGUUUGAUUCAGCAAGUGUAGCUUGUGUUUCUACAAUUCUGACUGAUUCGACAGGGCUGCACUGCUGUAACAGUGGCAAACAGGUCAUUGAAAUGGCCGCAACGACUGGCCCUGAGCUAACAGCCAUGCCCAUCUUCCUCUACUUUAUAUGUGGGACGCCUACCACAGCAUGGCUUGUCAAGCGGUGCCAUGUCCGCACCCGGGAUCCGAACCAGCGAACCCUGGGCUGCCUAGAAGUGGAAUGUGUGCACUUGACCACUGUGCCACCGGGCCGACAAAUUUUUCACUUUUAUAAUCAGAAUAAAAAAUUAUCACUUUCAUUUUGGAAAAUGAGAAUAUUUGAUAAUUUGUUUUUUAGAGUGUUUCGAAUGUCCCUGUGUCAAAAUGGCCACUUAACUGCAUACCUAUUAGAACAGCCAAAAUCCAGAACACCGAAGGCCAGUGAGGACACGGAGCAACAAGAACUCUCGUGCGUUGCUGGUGGGAAUGCAGAAUGGUGCAGCCACUUUGGAAGACAGUUUGGCAGCUUCUUACAAAACUAAACAAACUCUCCCCGUACAAUCCAGCAAUCCCACUCCUGUAUUUACCCAAAGGAGAUGAACUUACGGUCACACAAAAACUGGCAUGUGGAUGUUUGCAGCAGCUUUAGUCCUCGUUCCCAAGGCUGGGAUUUCUUCUGUGACGUCUACGCCUUGGCUCCUCCAGUACUCUCGGCCUGGAAUACCCUUCACCCAUCUACCCUCCAGUGUUAAACUCAGACACCACCUCUGCCAUGACGGCUUCCUCUGCUCUCCCACAGCACCCUGCUUGUGUCUCUUGGGAAUCCUUUCAGCCACAAGUAACAGAAACUCUGGCGAGCAGUGGCCUAAACAAAUAGUGGUUUAUUUUUCCUUUAAGGAGGGAGGUGGUUGCUGACAUCAGUUCAGUGGCUCAGUAAAGUCAGAGCUAGUGUCUCUGAGAUUCUCUUGACCUGCCCCUCAUGACUACAAGACGGCUGCAGCUGCUCGGGACAUCAUAUCCUCACAUCACAUUCAAGGAAGAGAAGUGAAGAGCCGAGCAGGGUAGAACAUUUUUCCUCAUUUACCGUCCUCUUAUCUGGGAGGAAAAAAACUUCCCCGGGAGUUUCCAGCAGGCAUCCUCCUAUAGCUCAUUGUCUAGAACGGGGCCACCAGGCCCCCCUCAGACCACAGUGGACCUACGUCCCUGAGAUCAACUUGAUUGAGACCCGAACUUGAUUGAGAUGGGAACGGAAAGGGGUCAUGUCAGGAGGGAAGAAAGGAGGGGAAAAGGCAC
This 9700-nucleotide long non-coding RNA is filed under the name Equus caballus (horse). RNAcentral's name for it is "lncRNA (ENSECAG00000049257.1)". The record is from RNAcentral. Lineage: Eukaryota; Metazoa; Chordata; Mammalia; Perissodactyla; Equidae.